GGAGUUGUGGCUCAGUGGUAGAGCACUUGCCUAGAAUGCCUGAGGCACUGGGUUCGAUCCCCAGCACCA
This 69-nucleotide transfer RNA is filed under the name Ictidomys tridecemlineatus (thirteen-lined ground squirrel). Its description in RNAcentral is "Spermophilus tridecemlineatus (thirteen-lined ground squirrel) tRNA". It matches the Rfam family "tRNA". Rfam says of the family: Transfer RNA (tRNA) molecules are approximately 80 nucleotides in length. Their secondary structure includes four short double-helical elements and three loops (D, anti-codon, and T loops). Lineage: Eukaryota; Metazoa; Chordata; Mammalia; Rodentia; Sciuridae. The record is from Rfam by way of RNAcentral.